Molecule: non-coding RNA, 1500 nt
Organism: Macaca mulatta (Rhesus monkey)
Lineage: Eukaryota; Metazoa; Chordata; Mammalia; Primates; Cercopithecidae
Source: RefSeq, a predicted model, not a curated record
CAAUCCAGCUGGCAGUGCCCAUGUGACAAUGAAACACAAGCAGAGGUCUGCCAGAAGGAAUUCUGGAAAAGCUUGGCUUUCUUCAUAUAAGGCUGGCAUCUUAACUCCCCUUCCGGCCUUGAAUUUGAAAGUAAAAUCUGGAUGUCAGAACAGCCAUCUUGCAACCAUGGGGUGAUGAAUAUAAAAGUAAAAGCCAGCACCAGGAGGGAAGCAGUGCCUGUCUUUCCUGGGGACAUUGCAAUGAACUGCGUGUAGGGCCCAGCUGCCUUUAUUCCUUCCCUGGUUUGGGGAUUCUCUGUCUCCCUCUCCUGCCCUGUGGUUGCAAAUGUGGCUCUGGAAGACAGCAAUGAAUCUGCAAGUAAACAGGGAUGGUGACUCACACCUACAAUCCCAGCACUUUGGAAGGCCGAGGCAGACGGAUCACCUGAGGUCAGGAGUUCGAGACCAGCCUGGACAACAUGUCAUGUUGCAGAAUCUUGAUCCAACAUCUGGAAUUUAUGCAGCCAUCUUGUUACCAACUCUAGUAUGAAGACAACAUGAAGAAUGAAAGUAUAGAAAGAUUAUUAAAAAGUAAAUGUCACACUUAGUUUUGAAUAAUAUAUGGUGUCAUGAAUCAACCAAUCUUGGAGUCUGCUUUUCCUCUGAAUGUCAUAGUAAGUGAGAUCAUAAAUAUCCUAGUUCUUUAAGCUAAUUAUAGUAUUUCUAUUAUGGGAAAAGUUUAGAUAUUUUAAAAUCUUUUUACUUAGAAAAGUUUUUGUUUGAGUACUACCUAAGCUAAAAACAAAUAUUCCCAUUGGUUAGAAGCAUAAAGAUCCUGACACUCUUUUGUUGAUACUAAGAUAUAUCCACCUCCUCACACUCACUUUCAGGAAUACACUAUGUGCUUUCGUUCUGCCUUAGAUAAUUUUUGCAUAAAUAUUUUAAAUAGAUUCUAUGACAUAAUUAGUAAGUAAUUUUGUAUAUCAAAUUGCAAUGUAUAUUUUCUUGAAAAAAAAUCCAGAAUACAAUAGUCAUCACCAACUUGAAUUAUUGACAUAUAAAAAUAAAAACCUCAAAAUUGACCUCCAUUAAAAAAAUCCUAAAGUGUUUCAAUAUCUCCUCAAGCAGUCUUUGUCUUUUUUAGUUAUCAAAUUUCUUUAUACACACACACUCACUCCAUACUCUCUGUCUCACAAACACCCCUUUAAAUUCCAACAAUUAUCUUUGGGCUGCCUGCAUAACUUUGAAAUGAGGGGAAUUUGAACUGUGAAGUGGAUUAAAAGGUUAAUUGCCUAAUCUUAGCUUCCUUCCUGAAAAGACUAUUUUGAUCUAUACAGAUUUCCUCUCUGGAGGCUAGGAAUGUUUUGAAAUAUAAUUAAAUAAAUCAGUCUUAUCUCUAAGAUUAACUGCUUUUGCAUAAUAAUUCCAAUGUUAGUAUUUUGACAACUGAUAUUUUUUACAUAAUUGUUUGUGGGGAAAAAAAAGCCUCUGUUUUUAUGCUAUUACAUUUGGAAAAUUAUA